RNAcentral lists this ribosomal RNA (253 nucleotides) under uncultured bacterium. RNAcentral describes it as "partial 16S ribosomal RNA". It matches the Rfam family "Bacterial small subunit ribosomal RNA", at positions 524 to 776 of the family's 1533-position model. The record is from RNAcentral.
UACGUAGGGGGCAAGCGUUGUCCGGAAUCAUUGGGCGUAAAGCGCGUGUAGGCGGCCAUGUAAGUCCGUUCUGAAAGCCCGGGGCUCAACCCCGGGAGGCGGAUGGAUACUGCAUGGCUCGAGUACGGAAGAGGCGAGUGGAAUUCCCGGUGUAGCGGUGAAAUGCGCAGAUAUCAGGAGGAACACCAAUGGCGAAGGCAGCUCGCUGGGACGGUACUGACGCUGAGGCGCGAAAGCGUGGGGAGCAAACAGG